GCCCGUCUAGCUCAUUUGGUAGAGCACAAGGCCCCUAACCUUGUGGCCGUUGUUUCGAACCCCACAGGGGGUG
RNAcentral lists this transfer RNA (73 nucleotides) under Amborella trichopoda. It matches the Rfam family "tRNA". Rfam says of the family: Transfer RNA (tRNA) molecules are approximately 80 nucleotides in length. Their secondary structure includes four short double-helical elements and three loops (D, anti-codon, and T loops). The record is from Rfam by way of RNAcentral. Lineage: Eukaryota; Viridiplantae; Streptophyta; Magnoliopsida; Amborellales; Amborellaceae.